UGAAAGCUAAGGGAGACCGCAGGAUGUUGUCCAAGGACUUUGCCAAGACUGGCUGGAAGAUCUAAAGAAAUACACAAAUGGAAGAUGAGAAGACAGACCAAAGUACUACUCCACCACCCAUGGAGUUCUACUCAUGUUGCCUUUGCUGCUCUCUUAUGCAGUGCCAGGCCUAAACAUAGGACCUCACAUAUAAUUUCUCUUCUCCUUGUUCUUGUCUUUCUCCCUGUCCUUACCUGUUCUUCCCCUUUUUCUUUUUCUUGUCCUUCUUUUCUCUCUUUUUCUUCCUUAUUUUCUUUCUUUCUCCUCCCCCUCUUCUUUUGUCAUAUCUCCUUUUUAAAAACACAAUGCUGGGACUUCUGGAGAAGAGGCUACUGGGCAGCAGCAGCUGUGUUUCUCUCCUCUUCUUUUCUGGGUCAACUAGGAAUACCAAAGGAGAUCAUCUGGGACUGCAACAAGGCAGGACUAAACAACUUCAGGAACCUACCAAAUC
Long non-coding RNA from Erinaceus europaeus (western European hedgehog), 490 nucleotides. RefSeq lists it as uncharacterized. The record is from RefSeq and is a predicted model, not a curated record. NCBI's taxonomy places the organism in Eukaryota, Metazoa, Chordata, Mammalia, Eulipotyphla, Erinaceidae. The transcript has 3 exons.